Molecule: unclassified non-coding RNA, 234 nt
Filed under: plant metagenome
Description: partial contains small subunit ribosomal RNA, internal transcribed spacer 1, and 5.8S ribosomal RNA
Source: RNAcentral
UUUCCGUAGGUGAACCUGCGGAAGGAUCAUUACAGUAGUCGCCCGGGUUGCCUCAAGGCCUCUCGGGUAACCUACCACCCUUUGUUUAUUACACUUUGUUGCUUUGGCAGGCCUGCCUUCGGGCUGCUGGCUCCGGCCGGCGAGCGCUUGCCAGAGGAUCUAAACUCUGUUUGUCUAUACUGUCUGAGUACUAUAUAAUAGUUAAAACUUUCAACAACGGAUCUCUUGGUUCUG